Non-coding RNA from Pelobates cultripes (western spadefoot toad), 307 nucleotides. The record is from the annotation of a GenBank genome assembly. Lineage: Eukaryota; Metazoa; Chordata; Amphibia; Anura; Pelobatidae.
ACACGGUGUACAGGAUUUAUUACCAACUUGCGUGCUGCUUAAAAUUUUAAACGAUGCAAGAAAUGGGGAGAAAGAGAAAUAGCUGAUGGAAAAGAGAUUGUUACAGAAAACGAAAUUUGGCAUGUGGAGUCAUCCUUUACCUGCGAAUUUGGACAUGCCUCAGUGGGCUGUUCAUAGGUAAGCCACUAUCUAUUUUUUGCUGGUCAUCUGGCCAGCUCUAGGAAAGGUGGUGUGUGACCUAAGGACACUCAGAUAUGUUUCCUCCUACAAGUUGUGUUUUUUUUUUUGAAGGCAGUAGAGACCUGCC